Molecule: long non-coding RNA, 212 nt
Filed under: Trifolium pratense (red clover)
Lineage: Eukaryota; Viridiplantae; Streptophyta; Magnoliopsida; Fabales; Fabaceae
Description: long non-coding RNA (TPRA_LNC004237)
Source: RNAcentral
CUCUGAGAUUGAGGCACAACCUGAUACUUUGGCAUCACCUGAGGACCCUCCUUUGGAACAAUCGGAGAGGAAGAAAAAGAAGAAAAAGAAGCAGAAAAAAUCUCCUGCUGCAGCUACUGUUGUCGAGGCUUUUGCUACUGCAAAAGAAACAACUUCGCAACCUGAAGCUUCUGCUACCCCUCAAUCCCAAGUAAGCCAUUCUUACUUCUUGU